ACCAGCGGCGCGUGUUGACCAUCACAGGCAUCUGUGUGGCACUGUUGGUAGUGGGCAUGGUCUGUGUGGCGGCAUACUGCAAAACCAAGAAGCAGAGGAAGAAGAUGCAUGGCCACCUGAACCAGAACAUUAACCAGAACCAGUGUGUGGAGCAGCCCAACCGCAUGCUGGCUAACGGUCCCAACCACCCUGGGCCAGGCCCUGAGGAGAUCCCCAUGGUCGAUUACAUCUCAAAGAACGCUCCUACCACAGAGUGUAGUAUUAUACAGCAUGGACCAGAAGAAUCCGUAAACUUCUCAGGAAGCCGAAUGUCCACCAGAUCCCACCACUCAUCUACAGUCUCCCACAACUCCAGGUGCUGUAGUAACACACAUAAACAUAGACACACAUUCACACAUGUAGAGACACACACACGCACGCACGCACGCACGCACGCGCACACA
Oncorhynchus nerka (sockeye salmon) is the source of this 443-nucleotide long non-coding RNA. RefSeq lists it as uncharacterized. The record is from RefSeq and is a predicted model, not a curated record. The transcript has 3 exons. Lineage: Eukaryota; Metazoa; Chordata; Actinopteri; Salmoniformes; Salmonidae.